UAUGUGAUCGUCUCUCGCAUAUCAAUAAGCGGAGGAAAAGAAACUAACAAGGAUUCCCCUAGUAACGGCGAGUGAAGCGGGAAGAGCUCAAAUUUGAAAUCUUAAAGGGUUUCCCUUUACGAAUUGUAGUUUAAAGAAGUGUUUUCCUGUUGAGGUUUUGGUAAAAGUUCUUUGGAAUAGGACAUCAUAGAGGGUGAGAAUCCCGUAUUUGACCUUUACUUUCAACUUUGUGAUACACUUUCAAAGAGUCGGAUUGUUUGGGAAUGCAGUCCAAAAUGGGUGAUAAAUUUCAUCUAAAGCUAAAUAUUGGCGAGAGACCGAUAGCGAACAAGUACCGUGAGGGAAAGAUGAAAAGAACUUUGAAAAGAGAGUUAAACAGUACGUGAAAUUGUCAAAAGGGAAGCGUUUGACACCAGUGUUGUUUUUCUGAAAAUCAAUUAAAGAACUGUUUAUGCUAAGUUGUUUAGACUUUAUCAGCUAACUGUUUAGUUUUGAGCUUUUCUUUAAUGCACUUUUCAGUCAACAAGUCAACAUCAAUUUCUUUUGCUGUAAAAAAGCUUGAGGAAGGUGGCUUGAGAUUCGUCUUAAGUGUUUAUAGCCUCUUGCCUAUGCAGUCGGAGAGAUUGAGGUCUGCAGCGUAGAUCCUUCGGGGCUAAAUGCAUUUGUGCUAAGUUAUAGCAUUUUAUAGACAACUUGUUGACUAUGAUUUGUCUUGUAGCUUACUCGCUUAUGUUAUUUUACCUACGCUUAGGAUGUUGACACACGCGCGUGCUCG
RNAcentral lists this ribosomal RNA (775 nucleotides) under uncultured Neocallimastigales. Its description in RNAcentral is "partial large subunit ribosomal RNA". It matches the Rfam family "Eukaryotic large subunit ribosomal RNA", at positions 24 to 646 of the family's 3401-position model. The record is from RNAcentral. Lineage: Eukaryota; Fungi; Neocallimastigomycota; Neocallimastigomycetes; Neocallimastigales.